AAGUGGAGCAAUCCAUGAGUACAGUGGCGUACGGGUGAGUAACACGUGACUAACCUACCCUCGAGUGGGGAAUAACCUCGGGAAACCGGGGCUAAUACCGCAUAACAUCUUCGGAUCAAAUGCGUAAGCAGCUUGAGGAGGGGGUCGCGGCCGAUUAGCUAGUUGGCGGGGUAAUGGCCCACCAAGGCAAUGAUCGGUAGCCGGCCUGAGAGGGCGCACGGCCACACUGGAACUGAAACACGGUCCAGACUCCUACGGGAGGCAGCAGUGGGGAAUUUUGCGCAAUGGGGGAAACCCUGACGCAGCAACGCCGCGUGGAGGAUGAAGCCCUUUGGG
RNAcentral lists this ribosomal RNA (336 nucleotides) under uncultured bacterium. Its description in RNAcentral is "bacterial SSU rRNA". It matches the Rfam family "Bacterial small subunit ribosomal RNA", at positions 72 to 422 of the family's 1533-position model. The record is from RNAcentral.